CGCCGCGUGAGUGAAGAAGGUUUUAGGAUCGUAAAGCUCUGUCUUCAAGGACGAAUGUGCAUAUUGUGAAUAAUGACAUGUAAUGACGGUACUUGAGGAGGAAGCCACGGCUAACUACGUGCCAGCAGCCGCGGUAAUACGUAGGUGGCAAGCGUUGUCCGGAAUUAUUGGGCGUAAAGCGCGCGCAGGCGGGAAUGUAAGUCUGUCUUAAAAGUUCGGGGCUCAACCCCGUGAUGGGAUGGAAACUACAUUUCUUGAGUGCAGGAGAGGACAGUGGAAUUCCCAGUGUAGCGGUGAAAUGCGUAGAUAUUGGGAGGAACACCAGUGGCGAAGGCGACUGUCUGGACUGUGUCUGACGCUGAGGCGCGAAAGCCAGGGGAGUGAACGGGAUUAGAUACCCCGGUAAUCCUGGCCGUAAACGAUGGGUACUAGGUGUAGGAGGUAUCGACCCCUUCUGUGCCGGAGUUAACGCAAUAAGUACCCCGCCUGGGGAGUACGGCCGCAAGGUUGAAACUCAAAGGAAUUGACGGGGGCCCGCACAAGCGGUGGAGUAUGUGGUUUAAUUCGACGCAACGCGAAGAACCUUACCAGGACUUGACAUCGAUUGAAAGGCCUAGAGAUAGGUCCCAUCCCUUCGGGGAACAAGAAGACAGGUGGUGCACGGCUGUCGUCAGCUCGUGUCGUGAGAUGUUGGGUUAAGUCCCGCAACGAGCGCAACCCUUAUCCUAUGUUGCCAGCACGUAAAGGUGGGAACUCAUGGGAGACUGCCGCAGACAAUGCGGAGGAAGGCGGGGAUGACGUCAAGUCAUCAUGCCCCUUAUGUCCUGGGCUACACACGUACUACAAUGGGCUUAAAUAGAGGGAAGCGAAGC
Molecule: ribosomal RNA, 872 nt
Filed under: bacterium enrichment culture clone PCP18
Lineage: Bacteria
Description: bacterial SSU rRNA
Rfam family: Bacterial small subunit ribosomal RNA
Source: RNAcentral